GAUGAACGCUGGCGGCGUGCCUAAUACAUGCAAGUCGAGCGAACGGACGAGAAGCUUGCUUCUCUGAUGUUAGCGGCGGACGGGUGAGUAACACGUGGAUAACCUACCUAUAAGACUGGGAUAACUUCGGGAAACCGGAGCUAAUACCGGAUAAUAUUUUGAACCGCAUGGUUCAAAAGUGAAAGACGGUCUUGCUGUCACUUAUAGAUGGAUCCGCGCUGCAUUAGCUAGUUGGUAAGGUAACGGCUUACCAAGGCAACGAUGCAUAGCCGACCUGAGAGGGUGAUCGGCCACACGAGAGCGGAGACACGGUCCAGACUCCUACGGGAGGCAGCAGUAGGGAAUCUUCCGCAAUGGGCGAAAGCCUGACGGAGCAACGCCGCGUGAGUGAUGAAGGUCUUCGGAUCGUAAAACUCUGUUAUGAGGGAAGAACAUAUGUGUAAGUAACUGUUCACAUCGUGACGGUACCGAAUCAGAAAGCCACGGCUAACUACGUG
RNAcentral lists this ribosomal RNA (497 nucleotides) under uncultured bacterium. Its description in RNAcentral is "partial 16S ribosomal RNA". It matches the Rfam family "Bacterial small subunit ribosomal RNA", at positions 28 to 507 of the family's 1533-position model. The record is from RNAcentral.